RNAcentral lists this ribosomal RNA (708 nucleotides) under Edwardsiella tarda. RNAcentral describes it as "bacterial SSU rRNA". It matches the Rfam family "Bacterial small subunit ribosomal RNA", at positions 801 to 1533 of the family's 1533-position model. The record is from RNAcentral. Lineage: Bacteria; Pseudomonadati; Pseudomonadota; Gammaproteobacteria; Enterobacterales; Hafniaceae.
ACGUUACGAUGUCGAUUUGGAGGUUGUGCCCUUGAGGCGUGGCUUCCGAAGCUAACGCGUUAAAUCGACCGCCUGGGGAGUACGGCCGCAAGGUUAAAACUCAAAUGAAUUGACGGGGGCCCGCACAAGCGGUGGAGCAUGUGGUUUAAUUCGAUGCAACGCGAAGAACCUUACCUACUCUUGACAUCCAGCGAAUCCUGUAGAGAUACGGGAGUGCCUUCGGGAACGCUGAGACAGGUGCUGCAUGGCUGUCGUCAGCUCGUGUUGUGAAAUGUUGGGUUAAGUCCCGCAACGAGCGCAACCCUUAUCCUUUGUUGCCAGCGGUUCGGCCGGGAACUCAAAGGAGACUGCCAGUGAUAAACUGGAGGAAGGUGGGGAUGACGUCAAGUCAUCAUGGCCCUUACGAGUAGGGCUACACACGUGCUACAAUGGCGUAUACAAAGAGAAGCGAACUCGCGAGAGCAAGCGGACCUCAUAAAGUACGUCGUAGUCCGGAUUGGAGUCUGCAACUCGACUCCAUGAAGUCGGAAUCGCUAGUAAUCGUGGAUCAGAAUGCCACGGUGAAUACGUUCCCGGGCCUUGUACACACCGCCCGUCACACCAUGGGAGUGGGUUGCAAAAGAAGUAGGUAGCUUAACCUUCGGGAGGGCGCUUACCACUUUGUGAUUCAUGACUGGGGUGAAGUCGAAAAGGGAAACACACAUUAAA